GAUUAGCUAGUUGGUAGUGUAACGGACUACCAAGGCGAUGAUCAGUAGCCGGUCUGAGAGGAUGAACGGCCACAUUGGGACUGAGACACGGCCCAAACUCCUACGGGAGGCAGCAGUGGGGAAUCUUCCGCAAUGGACGAAAGUCUGACGGAGCAACGCCGCGUGAGUGAUGAAGGAUUUCGGUCUGUAAAGCUCUGUUGUUUAUGACGAAGUGCAGUGUGUGAACAAUGCAUUGCAAUGACGGUAGUAAACGAGGAAGCCACGGCUAACUACGUGCCAGCAGCCGCGGUAAUACGUAGGUGGCGAGCGUUGUCCGGAAUUAUUGGGCGUAAAGAGCAUGUAGGCGGCUUAAUAAGUCGAGCGUGAAAAUGCGGGGCUCAACCCCGUAUGGCGCUGGAAACUGUUAGGCUUGAGUGCAGGAGAGGAAAGGGGAAUUCCCAGUGUAGCGGUGAAAUGCGUAGAUAUUGGGAGGAA
RNAcentral lists this ribosomal RNA (474 nucleotides) under uncultured bacterium. RNAcentral's name for it is "bacterial SSU rRNA". It matches the Rfam family "Bacterial small subunit ribosomal RNA", at positions 239 to 706 of the family's 1533-position model. The record is from RNAcentral.